Molecule: transfer RNA, 75 nt
Filed under: Bacillus subtilis BEST7003
Lineage: Bacteria; Bacillati; Bacillota; Bacilli; Caryophanales; Bacillaceae
Also listed under: 1 other name
Description: tRNA-Val (TAC) (tRNA-Val-TAC-2-1)
Rfam family: tRNA
About the family: Transfer RNA (tRNA) molecules are approximately 80 nucleotides in length.
Source: RNAcentral
GGAAGUAGCUCAGCUUGGUAGAGCAUCUGCCUUACAAGCAGAGGGUCGGCGGUUCGAGCCCGUCAUCCUCCACCA